CGUUUAAUUACCCUUUUUGUUUUGUACGAUUGAGAUUUCUGAUAUGAUUUAUUUAAUUCAUGAUCAUUUUGUAUUUUAUCUAGGGUUUGGUCAACUUGGCCACCAGUGGGGAUAGGGGCACCAACCCCUGCACAGAGGUUUCGGAGAGAGCUGCCCGGACCAUGAUUUGAUGAGUGAGCUGCACUGUGCGCCCGACCGGAAAAGUUCCUUGUGAAAGUGACAUUACGGGGAAGGGAUCGUCGCAGAGUUCUGUUGAAGCUUUCGACCUUUUGUGAAUUGCUAUUUUUGAUUGUCCUGUCCAGUACAGCUGGAGACAACCUCUUUGAGAUGCAGGCAUGGAGCCUUGCUUCGUUCUCGGCGGAAGAUGCAGACCGUCCUUGUAGAGGGAAUCUGCAGCUCGACCGGCAGAGCUGUCCGGGUCAGUGGUUACCUCCCUUACCUCGAGGCCAUCUUUGCAGAGGAGUUCCGCCAUCCCCUCCCUAGCCCAAGUGAACUCAUCCCCAAUAGUAUGGUGCAUUGGUAGAUUUGCCCCACAAACCCUGGGACUGCAGUGGUGGUUAGCAGUGCCCUCAUCCAAGACUUGCGAGUAGGAGGGGGAGUGUUGGUAGAGAGAAGGAUUUUCCUCAUCCCAUCAUUGCCUAUAGGGGUUUGACUAAGGCCAACUUGAAGCCCAUAGUUUACAGUGGCAGCUUUCCUACCCGGGGAUUUGGUCUCUACCUCCUCGUACAAAUUGUACCGCCUCGAUACAUAUAGACACUUGGUACAUCGAAGGCCCAUUCUGCUUCCCAGGCCGCGCCUCUCUUCGGAGGCCAGAUCCCACUCCAGCGGUCCAUCGCACCCCGGUAUCGCUUGCUGGUGGAGAGAGAUCACCUCAUUCCACAUUUCUGCUGUUUUCCUAAGAUGUAGCAAUCGAUGGGAAUUUUGAUUGGCCAAUCUAGACACUGUGGAGAGCUUUCAUCUCUCGGUCUCCUCGGCCUAAGGAGAUGGUGGCACAUGGGCCGCAGGAGCAUUUCAUGUCCUUCUGCAGCUGUCGGAGUCUCCGAAACCAUUUGAUGCAUCUGCGGGGACAGUCUGUUAUACGGUGCAGUCCUCAAUAUAUCCAAAUGUGAUCACAAGUCUGAAAGUCAUUCACUCUGUCUAACACCAUUGGCCGCAGUACGGU
Saccostrea echinata is the source of this 1162-nucleotide long non-coding RNA. RefSeq lists it as uncharacterized. The transcript has 5 exons. The record is from RefSeq and is a predicted model, not a curated record. NCBI's taxonomy places the organism in Eukaryota, Metazoa, Mollusca, Bivalvia, Ostreida, Ostreidae.